RNAcentral lists this ribosomal RNA (254 nucleotides) under uncultured bacterium. Its description in RNAcentral is "partial 16S ribosomal RNA". It matches the Rfam family "Bacterial small subunit ribosomal RNA", at positions 524 to 776 of the family's 1533-position model. The record is from RNAcentral.
UACAGAGGUCCCGAGCGUUGUUCGGAUUCACUGGGCGUAAAGGGUGCGUAGGUGGUGAGGUAAGUCGGAUGUGAAAUCUCCGGGCUCAACCCGGAAAUGGCAUUGGAAACUACCUUGCUGGAGGAUUUGAGGGGGGAUUGGAAUACUUGGUGUAGCAGUGAAAUGCGUAGAUAUCGGGAGGAACACCAGUGGCGAAGGCGACUACCUGGCCUGUUUCUUGACGCUGAGGCGCGAAAGCUAGGGGAGCAAACGGG